This 252-nucleotide unclassified non-coding RNA is filed under the name uncultured fungus. RNAcentral's name for it is "sequence contains ITS1". Lineage: Eukaryota; Fungi. The record is from RNAcentral.
CCAGGAGGCUCCCUCGAUCAGCCCGUUGAUCUUCGCCAAAUCGUCCUCGUCUUCGGUCAAAAAGGGGGCGAAGGAGGCAACGGCGGUGAACACCGGGGUACCGACCAGCCCGAGGAGGAAUGUGGCGCCGAUCAGCGUCCCGAUCUGGUUGGCGAAGACCAUUCCGAUCGCCACGGGCACGAAGAGGAUCUCUCCGAACAGCACCACCCGUCUGGGAUCGAACCUGUCGACCAGCACACCCGCCGCAGAUGC